CCCUAGUAGCGGCGAGCGAAGCGGGAAGAGCUCAAAUUUAUAAUCUGGCACCUUCGGUGUCCGAGUUGUAAUCUCUAGAAAUGUUUUCCGCGUUGGACCGCACACAAGUCUGUUGGAAUACAGCGGCAUAGUGGUGAGACCCCCGUAUAUGGUGCGGACGCCCAGCGCUUUGUGAUACAUUUUCGAAGAGUCGAGUUGUUUGGGAAUGCAGCUCAAAUUGGGUGGUAAAUUCCAUCUAAAGCUAAAUAUUGGCGAGAGACCGAUAGCGAACAAGUACCGUGAGGGAAAGAUGAAAAGCACUUUGGAAAGAGAGUUAACAGUACGUGAAAUUGUUGGAAGGGAAACGCUUGAAGUCAGACUUGCUUGCCGAGCAAUCGGUUUGCAGGCCAGCAUCAGUUUUUCGGGGUGGAUAAUGGUAGAGAGAAGGUAGCAGUUUCGGCUGUGUUAUAGCUCUCUACUGGAUACACCCUGGGGGACUGAGGAACGCAGUGUGCCUUUGGCGGGGGUUUCGACCUCUUCACACUUAGGAUGCUGGUGGAAUGGCUUUAAACGACCCGUCUUGAAACACGGAC
Molecule: ribosomal RNA, 572 nt
Filed under: Rhodotorula mucilaginosa
Lineage: Eukaryota; Fungi; Basidiomycota; Microbotryomycetes; Sporidiobolales; Sporidiobolaceae
Description: partial large subunit ribosomal RNA
Rfam family: Eukaryotic large subunit ribosomal RNA
Source: RNAcentral